Molecule: unclassified non-coding RNA, 432 nt
Filed under: soil metagenome
Description: partial contains 5.8S ribosomal RNA, internal transcribed spacer 2, and large subunit ribosomal RNA
Rfam family: 5.8S ribosomal RNA (bases 1-120)
Source: RNAcentral
GAUGAAGAACGCAGCGAAAUGCGAUACGUAAUGUGAAUUGCAGAAUUCAGUGAAUCAUCGAAUCUUUGAACGCAUAUUGCGCUCUCUGGUAUUCCGGAGAGCAUGCUUGUUUGAGUAUCAGUAAACACCUCAACUCCCUUUUCUUUUUUGAAAUGGGAGCUGGACUUGAGUGAUCCCAACACUUUUCUCACUGGAAAGUGGCGGGUCACUUGAAAUGCAGGUGCAGCUGGACUUUUCUCUGAGCUAUAAGCAUAUCUAUUUAGUCUGCCUAAAAAACAGAUUAUUACCUUUGCUGCAGCUAACAUAAAGGAGAUGAGUUCUUGUGCUGACUGAUGCAGGAUUCACAGAGACAGCUUUGCGGCUGACUUUGUAAACUCGAUCUCAAAUCAAGUAAGACUACCCGCUGAACUUAAGCAUAUCAAAAGCGGAGGA